This 939-nucleotide ribosomal RNA is filed under the name Amanita sp. RNAcentral describes it as "partial large subunit ribosomal RNA". It matches the Rfam family "Eukaryotic large subunit ribosomal RNA", at positions 37 to 962 of the family's 3401-position model. Lineage: Eukaryota; Fungi; Basidiomycota; Agaricomycetes; Agaricales; Amanitaceae. The record is from RNAcentral.
AGCAUAUCAAUAAGCGGAGGGAAAAAAACUAACAAGGAUUCCCUUAGUAACUGCGAGUGAAGAGGGAAAAGCUCAAAUUUAAAAUCUGGCAGUGUUUCACUGUCCGAGUUGUAACCUAGAGAAGUGUAACCUGCGCUGGACCGUGUAUAAGUCUCCUGGAAUGGAGCAUCACAGAGGGUGAGAAUCCCGUCUUUGACAUGGACCACCAGUGCAUUAUGGUUGUGCUCUCAACGAGUCGAGUUGUUUGGGAAUGCAGCUCUAAAUGGGUGGUAAAUUCCAUCUAAAGCUAAAUAUUGGCGAGAGACCGAUAGCGAACAAGUACCGUGAGGGAAAGAUGAAAAGAACUUUGGAAAGAGAGUUAAACAGUAUGUGAAAUUGUUGAAAGGGAAACGUUUGAAGUCAGUCGCGUUGGUUGGGGAUCAGCCUGACAUUGUUGGGUUUACUUCCUGGUCGACGGGCCAACAUCAGUUUUAACUGCCAGAAAAAGGCCAAAGGAAUGUGGCACCUUUGGGUGUGUUUAUAGCCCUUGGUCGUAUAUGGUGGUUGGGACUGAGGAAAGCAGCGUGCCGAAAGGCCGGGUUUCGACCACGUUCACGCUGAGGAUGUUGGCAUAAUGGCUUUAAGCGACCCGUCUUGAAACACGGACCAAGGAGUCUAACAUGCAUGCGAGUGUUUGGGUGGAAAACCCUUACGCGUAAUGAAAGUGAAAGUUGAGAUCCCUGUCGCGGGGAGCAUCGACGCCCGGACCAGAACUUUUGGGACGGAUCUGCGGUAGAGCACGUAUGUUGGGACCCGAAAGAUGGUGAACUAUGCCUGAAUAGGGUGAAGCCAGAGGAAACUCUGGUGGAGGCUCGUAGCGAUUCUGACGUGCAAAUCGAUCGUCAAAUUUGGGUAUAGGGGCGAAAGACUAAUCGAACCAUCUAGUAGCUGGUUCCUGCC